This 252-nucleotide ribosomal RNA is filed under the name uncultured bacterium. Its description in RNAcentral is "partial 16S ribosomal RNA". It matches the Rfam family "Bacterial small subunit ribosomal RNA", at positions 524 to 776 of the family's 1533-position model. The record is from RNAcentral.
UACAGAGGGGCAAGCGUUAUUCGGAAUUAUUGGGCGAAAGGGCGCGUAGGCGGCUUGGCAAGUGGAUGGUGAAAUCCCUCGGCUUAACCGAGGAACUGCCGUCCAAACUGCUUAGCUUGAGACCGGGAGAGGUGAGUGGAAUUCCCAGUGUAGCGGUGAAAAUGCGUAGAUAUUGGGAGGAACACCAGUGGCGAAGGCGGCUCACUGGACCGGAACUGACGCUGAGGAGCGAAAGCGUGGGGAGCGAACAGG